UUGUGAAGGGUGACAAUGUUUGGGUUGCGUUCAAGAGCCGCCGCCGCGUCCUGUGUCUUCACUGCUGUAGUCCCGAGAUUUAGUAAAGUAGCCGGCAGAAUGGCAGCACCAGAAGGCUCUAGUGUAGAAGUACUCACAGUUAGCUUGAAUACCUUGCGCUCCCUGAGGAGUACAGUCACUCAGUUUUUGAAGACGCUUGCUGAAGGACCUAAGUAUGAAAAUGACCAAGAUGGAGAAGGAGACUUACUGGAAGUGACAACAAAGGCCAUGGGAGAGAUUAGGAAUAAGUUAAGAGAACUGGAAACACAAAUGGCUGGGCUUACACCAUCUUCCGUUCCAGUAAAUUUAGGAAACACUGGCUUACUAUCUCUGGAUCCUUCUCCUGACAAGUUACCUCAGUAUUACCAGUUACUUGACUGUUAUACAUAUAUGGAAAAGGUGCAUAGUUACUCUACAACUCUGCACAGUGUCCUAUCAGCAAACAACUUGAAGAGAUCAGCUCUAUCUGCCAAGAGGAGACGUCCAAUUCAGUUGAACCACAAUGUACCACAACAACAAGUGGAUAUGUUGAUUCAAGGAAUAAACCAGAUGUUUCAAGACAUGAACCUUACCUUAUCUCGACCAUUUGGGAACAAUGCUGUUGUUCAGGUUGCCUUGGGUCGUGUUUUGAAGGCGGUAGUAACCUUCAAAGGUAUACUGAUAGAGUGGGUGGUUGUACGAGCUCAUAAUGAGUCCCUGUUAGAUGAAGAUGGUAAGGUGGACUUGUACACUCCAUCUCAAUAUAAAGUAUUCCAGAAGGUCACUGAUAAUGCAAAUGCUGCCAUGCUGAAUUUCUGUUCUCCAGGAUUCUCAGACCUGUCUGUUCGAUCAUUUUUUUGACUGCAUAUGCAUACCACUCAACUCUUUUUUGUAUGGGAGAAAAAGGCACUGAUAAUCCCAUCUGGAUGGACAACAAGACUGUUUAUAUACAGUACCCACCAUUGUAUCAGUUGGAAGCAGGCCAACAAGUAAUACAAUGGUACAGAUCGAUUCAACUCCAACUAGCAUUAACAAGCUGGAGCUGAGACAUGGCUCCACAGCUUUGUUUCACUCUUUAAUGAUGUUUGCAAGAAGUGCAACUAUCAUCUGCACAACCACAUGCCUCCAACUUGGAGGGAGUUCCGGACACUAGAUCCAUUUCACGAGGAGUGCAA
RNAcentral lists this unclassified non-coding RNA (1193 nucleotides) under Portunus trituberculatus (swimming crab). RNAcentral describes it as "mediator of RNA polymerase II transcription subunit 27-like, transcript variant X1". Lineage: Eukaryota; Metazoa; Arthropoda; Malacostraca; Decapoda; Portunidae. The record is from RNAcentral.